Molecule: non-coding RNA, 197 nt
Filed under: Staphylococcus aureus
Lineage: Bacteria; Bacillati; Bacillota; Bacilli; Caryophanales; Staphylococcaceae
Rfam family: S. aureus tsr24 small RNA
Source: RNAcentral
AUAUCAUUUUGAGGAAUUCUAACAGAGGUUUCUAUUGGUAGUGUAAGUUGGGCAAAGUGUCUUAUUUUUUAAAGUAUGUAAAAGUAAAAUUACAUGUUAAUACGUAGUAUUAAUGGCGAGACUCCUGAGGGAGCAGUGCCAGUCGAAGACCGAGGCUGAGACGGCACCCUAGGAAAGCGAAGCCAUUCAAUACGAAG